RNAcentral lists this small RNA (1678 nucleotides) under Oryza sativa Japonica Group (Japanese rice). RNAcentral's name for it is "sRNA Os02g0648000". The stretch from base 550 to 750 matches the Rfam family "MIR812 microRNA precursor family". Lineage: Eukaryota; Viridiplantae; Streptophyta; Magnoliopsida; Poales; Poaceae. The record is from RNAcentral.
GUGAAGUGAAAUAAACCCUAUACUCUGUUCUGUUCUAGAAGAAGCAGAAAUCUCUCGGUAGCAAGUUCUCUAGAGUUAUAUUUUGCCAUAAUGGCCAAAAGGUGUCUGUUAAAUCACAAAUAAACUCCCUUGCCCACUUGCCCGCCCGAAAAUCAGGGACUGGCACGUUGUUAUCAUGUUGGAUAUGCAUCAUCUCACGGUAUUAAUUGCCUCGUGGAUUAAGUUAUUAUUACACUCCACUCAACCUACCAGAACCCAUUACGAAGCAGUGAAGACGACUCUGUAUCGACAGGAACGUGCGUGGUUGUAACGACAAAUCACGUUAUUUCGAUACAGGUUAAUCACGGGUCACAAUACUAUGUAGAUUGAUUUGAUAUAUAUCUAACCGACUCAUACGGGCAAUUGAGACAAUUUGGUAUCACACGGGGUUGUUAUCAGUUGCACUCAUCACCCUUGGGUGUUCACAAGAUGAUGUAUUGAUGUGGUCCAGAAAUCUGUAACACUGUUCAUCGCAGCACUGUACCAGAAGAAUUACUCCCUCCGUCCCACAACAAGCAAACCGUGGAUUCCCGUGUUAACGUUUAAUUGUCCGUCUUAUAUGAUUUUUUUUAUAAUUAGUAUUUUCAUUGUUGUUAGAUGAUAAAACAUGAUUAAUAUUUUAUGCAUGACUUAUCUUUUUAAUUUUUUAUAACUUUUUUAAAUAAGACGAACAGUCAAACAUUGGAAACGGAAAUCAAGGUUUGUCUUUUUUUUUGGACGGAAGGAGUAUGUAGAUAGAGCUGUGACGGUUACUGUAGGUCAAAUGUUUAGACGUUGAUGCCCCUGAUCUGACAGCUGGGAAAUGGAAUGCACUCCAUGGUUACCCUAAAUGCAGAUAUAUUGUAGAAAAACAAAAUUUAUACUAUUUUUCUCAUCCUAAAAUAUAACAACCUAUGAUAAUAUUAGACUUAUCCUAAACCAUGAAUUUGGACAUACCGUAUGAUAAAUUCGUUGUGUUAGGAUAAGUUUAAUCCCAUUCUAAAUUGUUACUAUAUUUUAAAACGGAGGGAGUAGAAAGUUUUAUAAAUGCUUGGCUAAUGAAGUUAGUUGAAUUGAAUUGCUCGUACUUUCUCAUGAACUUAAGUUUUUAAGCGAGUUGGCUAAUAGUCCAUGAUGCACGUUAAUAUGGUAUUAGAGUCAGGCAUGGAAUUCAUAUGAUAGCUGAUGUGAUUAAAUGAAAAACUUGAAGCUCUUCCAUUCCAUGUAUUAUAAGAGCAAGUUUAAUAGUACAAUCAACUACUAGCUCCAAAUCAUUUGUAAUCAAUUUAAUAGCUAAUUCAUACAAUAAGAACAUAUAAACGUAUACUACACUAUUAGCACAUAGUCCCACCUGCCAUACAUACAUUUUGUCUAGGAGCCCGUGCUGCAGCUAGCAACAAAUUUGUAGCCCGCUGCUCAUCUCUCUUUUUUUAUUUCCUUGAUAUGUGUUUAUAGCUGGCAUAUAGCCUGGUAUUGUACCUGCUCUAAGGUACAACAUCCACAUGAUUCAUGUGGAGUUUUGAAGUGAACCGUUGGCUCUCUCUCAUUAGCUCAAGUUUUUUGGUUGACUUGGUUGACGCAUGUACUCCAUCCGUCCCAAAAUAUAAGCAUUUUUAGCAUAGUGAUAAGUCAAACAUUUUCAACUUUGACUAUUAAUAGC